RNA transcript from Centrocercus urophasianus (Greater sage-grouse), 4283 nucleotides. It is a transcript of the gene named apoptosis inducing factor mitochondria associated 3, with no coding region annotated. The transcript is spliced from 21 exons. The record is from RefSeq and is a predicted model, not a curated record. NCBI's taxonomy places the organism in Eukaryota, Metazoa, Chordata, Aves, Galliformes, Phasianidae.
CAGGUGGCUGCCAUGCGAGGCGCUGCCCGUCCCCUCGCUGCUCUGCACACCGUCCCUGCUGCGCGCCCGGCGCCGUGCUGCUCUGCUCGCCAUGGGAGGAUGCUUCUCCAAGCCCAAGCCAGUUGAAGUGAAAAUCGAGGUUGUGAUACCUGAGAAGGAGAGGAGCAAGGAGGAGAUGUCACCCAACGGGAAAGCCAGCCCAUUGGUUUACAAGGUCAAUGGGACUGCCCGGCAUUACCAUCUCGAGGAGCAUCCCAUUGCCAGCAACCCCUACCACAACCCAAAGGAUGUAGUGGAAGCGUCUGUGUGCCAUGUGAAGGACCUGGAGAAUGGACAGAUGCGUGAGGUGGACCUGGGCUGUGGGAAGGCACUGCUGAUCAAGGAGGCUGGAGAGUUCUAUGCCAUGGGACACAAAUGCCCCCACUAUGGGGCCCCGCUGGUUAAAGGGGUUUUGUCCAAAGGAAGGGUCCGCUGCCCCUGGCAUGGGGCUUGUUUCAACAUUGGCACUGGUGACAUUGAGGACUUUCCUGGCUUGGACAGCCUGCCCAGGUUCCAGGUGAAGAUUGAGAAGGAGAAGGUGUAUAUCCGAGCAAGCAAGCAGGCUCUUCAGACACAGAGGAGGACGAAGAUGAUGGCAAAGUGCAUCUCCUUGAGCAACUACAACCUGAGCAGUACCAACGUGCUGAUCAUCGGUGCAGGUGCAGCAGGGUUAGUCUGUGCAGAGACGUUGCGCCAGGAGGGUUUCUCAGACAGGAUUGUAAUGUGCACGAUGGACAGACACUUGCCCUACGACAGACCGAAGCUCAGCAAGUCCAUGGAUUCCCACCCAGAGCAGAUUGCCCUGCGCCCCAAGGAGUUCUUCCGCACGUACGACAUCGAAGUCCUGACAGAAAUGCAGGCUGCGGCUGUGGAUAUCAAGAACAAGACGGCUGUGUUCAAGGAUGGAUUUAAGAUGGAGUACAACAAACUGCUGAUAGCGACUGGAAACACGCCCAAAGCUCUCAGCUGUAAGGGCAAGGAAGUGGAAAACGUUUUCAACAUCCGGACGCCAGAAGACGCGAACCGCGUGGUGAAGUUGGCCACCAGCAAGAACGUGGUGAUAGUGGGAGCUUCCUUCCUUGGGAUGGAGGUGGCUGCCUACCUGACGGAGAGGGCCCACUCGGUGUCUGUGGUGGAGCUGGAGGAGGUCCCAUUCAAGAAGUUCUUUGGGGAGAGAGUUGGUCGUGCUGUCAUGAAGAUGUUCGAGAGCCACAGGGUGAAGUUCUACAUGCAGACUGAGGUGUCGGAGCUCCGGGAGCAGGAGGGCAAGCUGAAGGAGGUGGUGCUGAAGAGUGGGAAGGUCCUGCGCGCAGACGUUUGUGUCGUUGGCAUAGGUGCAGUGCCAGCGACGGGAUUUCUCAAGCAGAGUGGCAUCAACAUUGACUCCAAAGGCUUCAUCGUGGUCAACAAGAUGAUGCAGACCAACAUCCCUGGAGUGUUUGCAGCUGGUGAUGCUGUCACGUUCCCACUGGCCUUGAGGAACAAUAAGAAAGUGAAUGUCCCCCACUGGCAGAUGGCCCACAUGCAUGGCCGUAUUGCAGCACUGAAUAUGCUGGCCCACGGCACGGAGAUCAGCACAGUCCCCUAUUUGUGGACUGCAAUGUUUGGGAAAAGCAUUCGAUAUGCAGGCCACGGGGAAGGAUUUGAUGAUGUUGUCAUUCAAGGGGACUUGGAUGAACUGAAGUUCGUUGCAUUUUAUACCAAGGCGCAACAGAGGCAGCGAUUUAUCCCAACCCUAAUUAGAAAGGAAAUGCCAGAGCACUUUAAUAAAACAUCUGUGGAGCUCUUUCAAGAGCCAGGAGGGGCCCCAGGAGAUGGCUUUGGUGUGGCAGGACGGCACCGUGCGCCGAGAGCUGGAGGAGUGACGAGGUGGUGGCUGUGGCCAGCAUGAACUACGACCCCAUUGUUUCCAAGGUGGCCGAGGUCCUGGCUGCUGGCAGGGCCAUCCGAAAGCGUGACGUGGAAACUGGAGAUAUGUCCUGGCUAACGGGAAAAGGCUCCUAACAGACAUGGCUGCAACCUCCUGAUACUGCUCUGGCCUCGAGGAGAUGGGGAUGGCUGCAGAGCUCCACGGCACGAUGCAAAUAAUGCCCCCGAGUCAUCUUCCCUUGAGAUUUGGCCAAACCCAGCCUUUUUCACCAAGCAGUCACCUUCCCAGCAGCUCUGUGCAUGCAAACCGCUGCCAGCUCUCCUGGGUGUGGGGUCAGUGGGUGGAAUCCCCACUGCAAAGUCAAGGAAACAGACCCUGGGGGAGCAGGGUUGGCACCAGCAUGGCUGGCAAGGAGCUGCAGACUGCUGCCAUGGGGCCCACGGUGCUGGUGGGUGCCACAUCCAUGCUCUCCAAGCGGCACAACAAGAGCUCCAAGCACAUCCCUUCACCUUAUGAACAGCAUGAGUGCCUUUUGUUGUUCUCUGUAGCCAGUACAUGCUCUCAAGCACAUUGCUCCUUCCUAGAUCCUCUUUCCUCCACAUGGAGCCCAGCAUCUGCACCUUCUCCUUAAUGGUAAUGGAAAGAUUGACAUUGCUGCUGCCAUGCUACUGCAGGCAGAACAGCUGGAGGAGUAUUUCUGGCUGUUUGCUGCCCUUAGUCAUUUACUCUUCCUGUCUCCUGAUGGCAGAGCUACAUAUCUCAUCUCAACUGGCAGAGUCAGUGCUCUGUGGCCAUGCUUGCUGCUCCUGGCUGGCAGAAGGGCCCCAGUUCUUGCUCAGGAGUGGAGGUGGCCAGAUCAGAUCCCUGUGUUUGUCCACCCAGCAGAGCCAGGUGUGAGAUUCCCCCAUGGACAGCAUCCAGUUCUGUCCUUUGGGAGCUUUGUUCCCCAUCUGUCAUUGCAUUACCCUCAGCCCAAAGCCAGAAAAUUGUUAUUUUCAGUUUGAUUCAUCCCCCCCUUAUGAACGAAAGCAGUGCUCCUAUUGUGAUCCAGACCCUUUCUGCUCCCUUCCAAGCCCAGCAGGUUGGGCAGAUGGUGCCUGCACCUCCUGUGCAGGAUUCCCUUGGUGUCCCAUGUCCUGCUCAUCUUUAUCUCCAAACUUUCAGAUCUUUGCUCAGGUGGCAACAUCAGCAGUCACACCUUCUCUUGGCCCCUUCUGCUUUCACUGCCAGGUUUUUCCCAGGCAGUGUGACCAGUGGUGGCUGUAGGCAGGGAUGUGGGCACAGUGCCCAGCUGCUGCUUUGGAUCCAUGGGCAGCUGUGGCUUUGCAUCACAUAUCUUGCUGCUGGGGUGGUCAGACGCCAUCCAGCAGCACUGGGAUCGUUUACCUGUUAUUGCUCUGCUCCUUCUUUCCUCACUGCCCCGGCACAGCAGCUCUGUGUGCCCCCCAGCAGAGCCUGGCUGACCUUUUCCAAAGCACCACCUUUCUGCUCACCCAGAGGCACCAUCACUGAAGUGCUCCCACACAGAUGUGCAGUGUUUUGCUUUUCAGGAAAAGCAUGUCCUGUCCACGGAUGGCCAAAUAGACCAGCAGGACCUCAUGGGCUUUUCUACUGGUUUAUCAGCCUUCCUUAGUGCACUGUCCUAACCUAGUGACAGACCAACACUCAGAGCAUGCUCUAUUUAUUCCAUACCUUAUAACAUUGCCUGGGAUAUCCACGUAGCAUAGGGUUUUUCCCCAAAAGAGAGUCCUUCGUGGGACCUCCUAGCACUCCUCCUUCUUCCCAGCAGCCUGUGUGAUGUACUCCACAGCUUAGCUUUAAGCAAGUAGAAAAAUCCUUUUUAUUUGGUUUCUCGUGUCCCUUACCAGGGUCUGGCUCUUAAGAAAUGGCCUCAAUAGCAGCAGCCAGACCAGGCACUGGCAGCAGCUGCUGCCCGAGGCACCUGCUGGGAUGGGGUGAAGGCUGAAGAGCACAAGGAGAACCAUUGGGGGCCCACACCUGUGUGAGGACCCACACAUCCACGAUGGAGACCACCUGCUCCAAGGGGGGCAAAAAGCUCCAUGGGCCUGGGGACUUGAGGACUCGUUUUUUGGCAACGUCACCUCGAUGCCAACGUGGAGAUGGUGGAGCACUUCUGCUGCGGUGUCCCUUCUGCGAUGGGGCACAUCCACAUCCGUCAGGGAAUUUUAAGCAAUAACGAUGCUGAUACAAUGCAGCGGGGAGAGGGUGCAAUGGGGCAGAGUGCUGCGUGGAGGGGAUGGUGGUGACAGAGGACGGCCACCACCUGCUGCUGCCCCACUGCUGGAAAUGCUCUGUACCCUUGGGCUCAGUGUCUGGGAGCUCUCACUGUGGCAAUAAAGGCCCUUCCCCAGCA